AAGAAACAAAAACCCAUAAAUGAUAAAUCUGAUCACAUAUCAAAAAAUUCAAUUAGUUUGUCAAAAACCAAAUCAAACAACAAGUACCAUCAACACUGCUAUAUAUAUAUAAUGCCAUCAAAAAAUUAAAACAAAGAAAAUCACAAACUAAAAUCCCAAAUCAGAUCAAGAAAAAAAAUUAAAUAGCAAAAAUUAAUAAAAGUAUCUAAAAAUACAAGUAUUUCACAUUCCAGCUUGCAGUUUUUUGGGCUCGUGUCAAAUUCAGUGUUUAACUAUUUCACAUUCAUCUACAACUAAAGAAAAGUAUCUAAAAAUACAAGUAUUUCACAUUCCAGCUUGCAGUUUUUUGGGCUCGUGUCAAAUUCAGUGUUUAACUAUUUCACAUUCAUCUACAACUAAAGAAAAGUAUCUAAAAAUACAAGUACCUAAGAUUCUUUUAAACCAUGUGCAGUGUGCUUUAACUACAAGGACAGCAUUAACCUAAGUGUUGCGGUCUGCAGACCUCUUCUCCUCCAGCAAUCUGCACAGGCGCACAGCUCAAGGUCUCAAGGAGCUUCAGAAAUCAGAGCAGCUAGAGGCAGUCAGCAGACAGCAGAGGCGGAUUGGCGGAAGGGGAAAAAAAAGGGGUACAGCUUCAAACUUCAGAGCAGAUAGGCAAUUUGGGCGAUUUUGAAGAGGGGUUAGGUUGUUUUUUUUUAAUCUUAUAUGAAACGACGUCGUUUCAUGUAAGAUAAAAAAACAAAAAAAAACUAGCUGCUGCUGUGUUGCAGAAGAAGGAAGAAGAAGGCAGGCGGCUGCUGGGCUGCAGAAGAACUGAAGAAGAAAGGAAGAAGAAAGCUGUGCUACAAAAAAACUCACCUGGGCUACAGCCCACCCUAGCCCAUACGUGGCUCCGCCCUUGCACCUUGGUGAAUAGGAAUUUGAUCAAAAUCUGAGAUGCUACAAUAAAGCAAAGAAAAAGACUAGGAUUGCUUCCUCUAUAAAAGACUAGGAGUAAUAGAACGAAUUCAUCCGCUAGUACUUCUAGCAGACCGUGAAUAAUUAAUUUUAUGGUGCUUUGAGUGGAGGCAAAUUUGUCCAAAAUUUGCAAUAAUUACGUCCGUUAUAAGUACUAGCGGACAGUGUAAAGUCCUUUGCAAUCCUAGCCCUUCAUUUUUGUAAUGGAAGAUAUAGAUGGUGUAUGC
Molecule: long non-coding RNA, 1184 nt
Filed under: Panax ginseng (ginseng)
Lineage: Eukaryota; Viridiplantae; Streptophyta; Magnoliopsida; Apiales; Araliaceae
Description: long non-coding RNA (PGIN_LNC003634)
Source: RNAcentral